GCCGGGUUGGCCGUGCGGGCGGUGGCCUUGAGGGUCUUGGCAUCGACAUCGUUGGCGCCGGCAAUGAUCGCCAGGUUCUUCGCCUGGAUCUCGGCA
This 96-nucleotide transfer RNA is filed under the name Pseudomonas sp. Ost2. Its description in RNAcentral is "tRNA-Lys". Lineage: Bacteria; Pseudomonadati; Pseudomonadota; Gammaproteobacteria; Pseudomonadales; Pseudomonadaceae. The record is from RNAcentral.